RNAcentral lists this ribosomal RNA (275 nucleotides) under uncultured bacterium. RNAcentral's name for it is "partial 16S ribosomal RNA". It matches the Rfam family "Bacterial small subunit ribosomal RNA", at positions 399 to 691 of the family's 1533-position model. The record is from RNAcentral.
GCGUGAGUGAUGAAGGCCUUCGGGUCGUAAAGCUCUUUUACCCGGGAUGAUAAUGACAGUACCGGGAGAAUAAGCUCCGGCUAACUCCGUGCCAGCAGCCGCGGUAAUACGGAGGGAGCUAGCGUUGUUCGGAAUUACUGGGCGUAAAGCGCGCGUAGGCGGCGAAUCAAGUCAGGGGUGAAAUCCCGGGGCUCAACCCCGGAACUGCCCUUGAAACUAGCUCGCUAGAAUCUUGGAGAGGUCAGUGGAAUUCCGAGUGUAGAGGUGAAAUUCGU